Long non-coding RNA from Stylophora pistillata, 2697 nucleotides. Lineage: Eukaryota; Metazoa; Cnidaria; Anthozoa; Scleractinia; Pocilloporidae. The record is from RefSeq and is a predicted model, not a curated record.
GUCUUUGAUAUCCCUGCGUCGUAAAGUAACUUACGAAGGCGACGGAACUUUAGAUAUGAGAGGGAGCGAUGAACCAAUAUACUCGUUUUGACCUUAAACUGGGAGUGAAAACUGGACCUCAAGUAUCACUUGCCUCUCAGAGCAAGUUAGCUGUCGUCUGGUGGUGUUUGGAUGGAAAAAUGACACCAGCAGCUGCAGAAUGCGAAUGGAGACAGGAUGGAGAGCAUUAGGACAUCCAGCCAGUUAAAAUGUCAUCAGGGACAUCAAGCACAAGACCAAAGUCUGUUACAAUCUGUGUGGAUUAACCAGGACAUAAGCAAACGUGGAAUAUCGUUUGUGUUCAAACGGCUUGGAUCUCAGUGGACCCUGAUCGACUUCCUUUGGUGCCAAUGGUAAGUAUUUUUUUAUUGUCACAGGGCUGCAUCAUUUUUGGCAUUUCGUAGAGUUGAGCUUGGGAUAAACUUAUAAGAAUGUACCUUUUUUUUCGGGGGUGGGGAGAGGUCAGGAAUAAAAGCGAUAAAAGCACGGUGUUAGCGGUGCGAGUUUAAUUUACGGCGGCUGAGGUCCUUCGGAACUCUACAGCAAACUCGCCCUCAACGGCUAUGGGUUACAGAAGAAUGAAACAAUCGACUUAUCAGGCUCACACAAAAGUAAAUGCCCGGAUGAACAACACAGUUUGUCUUUUAACGAUUGUCAGACAACUCGCCCCCUGGACAAUUAGCCCCAAACAACUCGCCCCCGAUCUUCAGACAACUGGCACCCAAUAUGAAAACACUUAUGUUACGUUGGACAAAUAUAUUUUUAUGCUCGUAAAGUAAUAAUUUCUUGAAAGAAGAGGAAAGUUUGUUUUUUAAAGUACAUUACGAGACGAGACUUUGCGUUUGUAGCGAUCGAUUCUAACGAUCGCGUAAACAGAUGAAAGUGACCAUUUUGUCAUCCAGCCACAGCAUUUGAAGUAAUUGUAAUGAAACAGGUUUUACUGUUUUUGUUUUAUGUUUUGGAGUAUUCCGCUGUGAAAGAACAAACACCAGACGCAAAUAGCAAACAACUUUGAUCGCAGAUAUAAUCAUAGUCGCCAUAUUGAAUCUGCAAUAUUGAGCCCAGAGAAUAUCAACCCAGGCCUGUCGAAUAGACACAGUACAGCUUACCUCUCAGAAAACAUGCACGCGCGCUAUCAUUAGUUAAGUCCUCUUAAAGUGCGCAAGUGUCAUGAAUACUUUGACAAAAUUAAAGUGAAUGAAUAAGACAAGGCAAGACAUUCAUUUGAUUGAUCAUUGAUCACCAACCGAGAAUCAUCUCAGAACUACAACACGCGAACAACUAGAAUGGCUUCCGUAAGCCACAUCUCUCUAGAUGUCAAACUUGUGCAGCGCUUCCUGGCGAGGAUGGUAUCCCAAACUUUCGUUCCUAUGAAAUUUUGCGGACCCCAAAUAAGCGGCCGUAGGCUGCUAUGAACAAAAUAGCGCUCGAAUUUGUCGUUCCAUAUCCAAGCAACGAUGUAUUGGGCUUUUCUGAAUGUUCGUCUAAUGAACCCCAUCUUGUUUAGAGGUAUCGUAGCAGAUUUUGGACGCUUCUAGGUUACAUUCUUCUCUUUAUACUCAAUAGGUCCUAUGGUAUCGGGUCAAAGAAUACAUAACAACUUUCAAUAGCUAUAAAAGCCAAUGGAUCUUUGGUCUUUAAGUCUUUUCAGGUGUCUUUUAAGUGAACUGGUAUUAGACAAAGUCUCAAAUUGUUGGAAGGCGAAUUAUUUUUGUUUUAAGCAGGCCUCCUCAUCGCGUCCAUCGCAACCACAAUCUUGUUUCUCCUUUCCGUUAUUGCCCGGAUGAUGGACCAGUUUUGUUCGAGUGAUGAUUUUUUUCUUUCCACGAUGAUGGUUACAAAAACAUACUUAGCAUAAAUAAGAUACACCACUGUAUGUUACUAUUUUAUCCUGUGUUAUAAGUACCUUUUGUCUUUGUGAGUAAUAGCAUGUAUAUCCCUUUUUUCACUUUAGUGCACUCUUGCUAGUCUAAUACGCGGUUAGGAAUAUGCUUUUUCCAUUUUGUUUUCACAGGGUUGACACAGGAAGGAUGCAAAUAUGUCAAAUUUACUAGUCUCAACUAAUCAAAUGCUGGAAAAACUAUUAUAAGUUGUAAUUAAUGGUCAGUCAUGCAUAUGGUUUAAUGCACUUUCUUUAAGUUCUCAGUACUGGUGGGUCCUUUUGUAUGUUCCUUUUUACUGGACUUGGCCUUUUGGAUUAUUUUAGUUGCUUAGGGUUUGGUUUAAUGAGCGGGGCAUGGAGGGUUCUGAAUACAGCAAUACCACAAACAAAAGAGAGCAAACACUAUAUCUCUGCAAGAAAUAUUAUUAACACACCAACACUAUGAUAGAAGAAAUUCUCAGGAUAUACCUGGUCUGGUUUCACUUAUAUUUACGGUAUGAAAGUCUUUGGCUGGCCAAUAGUGCAUGUGGUAGAGGUUCAGAGGUCAAGUAUGAUAUAAACAAACAUGGCCAGGGGUCAGUCAGCUAAUGUUUAUUCAAGACUCACACAGAUGUACAUGAAUUGCUAUUUUGUUUGACAAUAAACCACAGGUUAUUGAAAUCUAGUUUAUUAUAGGGUUGAAGAAUGAAGUGCAACACUGGAAAUGGUUUAUUUCAUUGAACACCUUCAGUUUGAAAUUACAAUUUGAGCAUGUAUGCCGACGACCAUCAGAUGUA